GAUGAACGCUGGCGGCGUGCCUAACACAUGCAAGUCGAGCGAAGCACCUGGAAGUUUUCGGACAGAAGGGUGACUGAGCGGCGGACGGGUGAGUAACGCGUGGGUAAUCUGCCUCAUACAGGGGAAUAACAGCUAGAAAUGGCUGCUAAUGCCGCAUAAGCGCACAGGACCGCAUGGUCUGGUGUGAAAAACUCCGGUGGUAUGAGAUGAACCCGCGUCUGAUUAGUUAGUUGGCAGGGUAACGGCCUACCAAGACGACGAUCAGUAGCCGGCCUGAGAGGGUGGACGGCCACAUUGGGACUGAGACACGGCCCAGACUCCUACGGGAGGCAGCAGUGGGGAAUAUUGCACAAUGGGGGAAACCCUGAUGCAGCAACGCCGCGUGAGUGAAGAAGUAUUUCGGUAUGUAAAGCUCUAUCAGCAGGGAAGAA
RNAcentral lists this ribosomal RNA (431 nucleotides) under uncultured bacterium. RNAcentral describes it as "bacterial SSU rRNA". It matches the Rfam family "Bacterial small subunit ribosomal RNA", at positions 28 to 449 of the family's 1533-position model. The record is from RNAcentral.